GUAGAAAAUAGGAUCAGCUGGAAGAUAGAUAGCGGAGUCUUUAGUGAUGCAGAAUGGUGUUUUUCUUACCGUGUUUGAUGUUUGUUGCCCAAUGGGGGACCGUGACUGCAUAAGGCUCCAAGUCAAUUCUGAUUGUUGUCUGUCCAUUACAAAUUCAAGGAUGAAUUUUUAGGUAGCAGGGGAGUAUGUCACUGUCUAGAACUGUUUAUUUAUUACAGAGAGAAUGUGUAAGCAGCCAGAUAGCUCAAUUGGUAAAGCUGUGGUGCGUAUUCUGAAGGUCCCAUGUUUGAGUCCUGGUCAGGCUUCACUUAUCAUCCUUUCACAUAAGAAAGUAGUGAAUAUGUUUAGUUUUACAUGAUGAUUGUGUUUAAGGUGCAAAGGUAUUCAGUACUAGCUUCAAUUUUGUUAUAUAAGUGUCAUUGUGAAGGUGAAAAUUUCAUACUUCUAUGAGUGUAAUAUGAUCUGAUAUAUUUUAUACUUUUAUAUUUCUUCCUAAAAAUAUGUACAGGUUAUUUUCUGUAGAUGUUUCUUUGUGUUUAUGAUAUCAGAUUAUUUUGUCAGAUUAUUUUGUCAUCUCAAUAGUUGGUAUAAAAUAUGCUCUCAUUAACUGCCCCUUUUAUAGAUGUUCAUGUAUGGUAUAGGGUGUUUUAGUACAUGUAGUCUAGAAAUGAAUCUUAUAAUGGUAUAGACAUUUGAUAUGCAGCUAAUAACCAUAUGACAAUCUCUUUUAUCCUUUGGGUCUAAUCUAGAACACAGAAUAAAUUUUUUUGACAUGAUGACUCAUGGGUAUUUUCAAGGUCAAGGUCAUAUUUUAUCCACGGUCAAGGUCACAGAUUGAGGUAUUGGGGCAGAAAUGCUAUUUCGUAUUAUUUUAUUUGUCAUGGGAUCUUUAGGUAAAAUAAGAAAACAUUUGCCUUCAAAGCCAAUGCCUUUGGAAAGGAAUUGGAAGGUGAUCGGAUGCAGUUUUUAGGUUAGUUUGUGAUACUUAACCACUAGAUGUGAUUUUAUCAUUACUCAUGGUUAUUCAUCGGGGCAGAUUUUUAAAAAACAAAACAAAAAAAUAAACGUUGCACCAUUCAAAACUUGUAUUUUUAUCUUAGCAUUUUCACAUUGGCAGAUAUAGUACCAAAUUAUGGCAUGGACAAGCAUGUCUAUUUUUGACAUACAUUUCAUUAUUAUUGCCUAUUUUUUAAAAAUUAUUUAGAUGGUUUCAUACUUGAAGUUUUUACCAUUUUGUGCUCAGUGUUAUAGAUGUUGUAAGAAUAUUUUGUGAGUUAUAUUUUGAUAUAAUAUGAUAUAUUAACAUUGUGCCUAGCUUUAGAUUUUAGCCUACCAAACUUCUGUAUAGUGAUGGUGAGUUAGUGACCAGUUGAUGUCCGUCAUCCAUGAGUGUAUGAACAACUUCUUGUCUGGUUGAUAACAAUUAUUUUUUUUACCAAACUUACACAGAACUUGUAUCACUAAUAAAGAAAUAAAUAAAUAAAUGAUAAUCACUGUAAAGAAAAGGCCAAGAUUUUAUACAGAGUUAUGGCCCCUAAAAGGUGAAAAAAAUGGAUAUUUUAGGGAACAGCUUCUGUGUACAAAACUGAUAAUCUUACAAAUUUCAAAAUAAAUUUAUGCACCUUUAUAGGACUAGGAUGAGCGAUUUAGGUCCAUUAUGGCCCUCUUGUUAUAUGUAAGGUACAUAUAUAUUCAGGGUAGCAUUAUUGAUAGAACACAUAUACACAUGUAUAUGUACAUGUAUAUAAAUGUAUAUAUAUGUAACAUCUAAAAAAUGUACAUUAUGCCUCUAUCCAAAAAUAUUAAUAUAUUAAUUUUUGUAUUUGCGUUAUAACAUUUCUGUCACUGCUUUCUUAUUUAUUAUUUAUUCAUCUGGAAUUGAAAAUAAGUCAAAAAAAGCUGUUCUGUCAUUUCUAAUGGGUAAAAUUAUGUAAGAAUCUGAUUAAAUUUGGCAGUUAUAUGUAUUAUACUUAUAUAUAACAUAGCAUUACUAUAAUUCUUGUAGAAUAAAAGAAGAAAAAAAGUUGGUUUACAAAAAUAUGCAGGAUAUGACAUUUGAUUACUAAUAUGAUAUGUGAAAUAGAAAUUUUCUUCUAGAGGUGAAAAAGUUGAUUGAAAUGAUACUUAGUGUUGAUUUACCAUUUGAUGUGAACUUUCUUUUCUUAAAGAUAUACUAUGCUCAUCCUUAAGUAAAAUAUUUUAAGCACAGAAAUUUACUGAAAUCUAUGAAAUUUUUACUGAAUAUAUCUAUGUUGAAGACAAUAAUUAAUAAGCUAUGUAUUGGAAGGUGCAUUUCCAAUUACUGGUUGGUCUUCUAUUUUUUAAAAUGCCAGUUUUUUUUAUACAACACUAUAUAUUGAUAUUGUGACCACCUAUAACAUGUAGAAUUUUAAACAUAUCUACUUUGUAUCAAGUCAAAACAUGUUUAUUUUAUACUUACAAAGAGGCUGUGUAGCAAUUACCAAUACUUUCUAAUAUCAAAUUUGAGCCUAGUAUAUCUUUAAGUCUUUUACCUCUAUGAAUUCUUUCAUUUCAUUUUCUAAAUAUUAAAAUAUUUAUUUUGAGUUUGCUCAAUCUGUCCUUUAUUUUGUCAAUGAAUUAACUGUGUAUAGAUUUGGUACAUUAAACAUUUUAGAAAUUCUAUAUUUAGUGUAGAUUGUAUCAAUCUAAUGUUUUCUGUAUCUUAAAAAAAAACUUUUUUUUUUUGUGUCGAUGUUUGUGAUUAAUGCAAUAUUUAUGAUACGACAGACAUGUACUUCAAUAUAUUUUGUUACUUUAAAGGCCCAUUAUGCCUCAGAAAAGCCUUUUUUUUCGUUUUUCAAAAUUGUCUUCGUUUUUUGGCAUCCUGUUCUAGUUUUCAAAAAGUUAGUCAUUUACAAAUUACCUGAUUUAUUUUUUGUAUCUAUUACCUUUUGACAAUCAGUUCAGUUAAAGUGAUUGAGUAUUUUGUAUGGAAGUCGGAAUACUACUUUGUUUACAUUAUCCUACUUUUAUGACAAUUUCACAUUGAGCACUACUUUUCUCAGGGGAUGAGCAACUAACAUGCCCUUAAACCCUUAUUUAAAUGUUGUAAAACUCAUGUUUGCCCUUUCUAAAGAAGAAAAAAAAAAUCAUUUCUGAAGCAUCAUGUGCCUUUAAUUUUCAUUCGUUGUAAAUUUAGUAUUUAUGUCUUUGUUCUUUGGAUGUUUUGUCAUUUACAAGUUUUUUUUAUUUGAUAUGACAUUUUGUUAUCAGCUUUAACUGAAGAAGGCAGGACUGAAAGAAUGGCUUUUUUGCAAGUGAACAAAUUUUGGACAGUUGGGGAUUAUUCUUUGAUAGGGUUGUAAACAGAUGUUACUUUCAGAAUACAUUUUUUGUUUUUGUUUCUGUUUAACAUAUAAAAACUAUUUAUUUUGUGUUGUGUUAUUUGACAAUAAUUUUAAAGAAUUGUUCUAUUUUUUAAUUUGCACUCCUCCAGAUUUUGUUGUAAUAUUUAUGAAAACUUAAAAAAAAAUUGUUUAAAGGAGUAGAACUGUUUACUUAUUAAGUGAUUUAAUUUAGACAAAGGCAGUUGCUUUUAUUAAUUGGUCAAAAUAUGCAGAAAUUGUCCUAAUUUAUUCUGAAGAAAUUUACCUUACUCAAUUAGUAAAGGGGUACAAUUUUAAUGAUAAAACUAACAAUAUUUUACGACAUUCAAAGUCUCACCUUUAUUCAAUUUAUUCUGAAAAUUAAUACAUAUCUUAAAAUAUAGAUGUCUUUUUCUUGAAGUUUUUUUUACUUAAAAGAUUUAUUCUGCUCAACUGGAGGAUUGCCACUUAACAUUUAUAUUUCUGGUUUGACUGUUUCUUAAUUUAUUUAGUUUAUGUUUAUAAAAACAACAAAUGUUGAAUGCUUAUUAAUUACCAAAAACUAGUUUCAGUUUUUUAUUUUAAUGGUGUGUUGCUUUUGGUGCUCUGCUGGUGUAAGAUGGUUUUUUGUUGUUGUUGUUUUUUUUGCACUUUCAUAUGAUAUUCCCAUUCAUUCUAUAAUAUAUUUAUUAUACUUAUAUUUCUAAAUAAACAAAACCCUAAUAAAUAUGUUGCAUCAUGUAUUUUUAUAUCUGUUGCAUCAUGUAUUUUUAUAUCUAACUGUAUUGUUUAUAUGGCAUUUUACACUAGCAAUCAUUUUAUAUAAACUUACACUAAAAUAUGCUAGGAAAUUGUUACAGUAAAACCUGUUUUAAAGACCACUUCUGAUUUUAAGAUCACAGUGUUAAUAAAGACCACUCAUCAAAAAUUCUUUUUUUAUUCAAAAGAACCGAGUAACAUCCAAAUAAAGACCACAUGUCUAUAAAGGUCAUGUUUAGUAUUUGCUUUAGAUGGCCUUUUUUUACAGGUUUGACUGUAAAUAAUGAGCCUUUGACAUCUGUAAGAUUCUUUAAAUCAUGAGAUGAAUGGCAAGUUAAUGGCAAACAAGCAGUUCAAUUCCUCAUUUUUAUGUUAAUAUAAAUGAUUUUAUAUUUUCAUUUAUAUUAACCCUUCACCUGCUGGAACCAAAAGUGAUAAGCCUUUGCCACCAGUAUACAGCCGGGUUAGCCUGCACUUCCAUGCAGUCUGACCAGACUCUAUACUGUUGGCAGCUCAAUUUUUGUAUUUUGAUAUUGAAAUCCCCUUCACCUUUGAAUGGACUGUUUCAAAUUCAAAGCUGGACUGAUCCAUUAUAGAAAUAUAGCAGGUGAAGGGUUAAAUAUGUGUGUAAUGAAGAGAAUUUCCAUAAUGGUUAUAACUAUUUUACAACAGAAAUAACAGUUGUUUUUUUUUUAUCUUGCACAUCGUAUUGUGUAAAUUGAAGCACUACCUGCUUUUGUAAUAAAAAAUGAAUAUAUUUCAACAUAAUACUUCCAUAGAAAGCCAUAUUUUUUUUCAUAAUAUAUAACUAUAUCUAUGUCAACCUGUAUGUAGUGGUCACCUGUCUAUAGCUGUCACUUUAGCUCAGUCCUCUUGCUGAUCACUAAAGCCAAGAUAAACUUAACAAAAAACAACUGACCUUUGUUUCAAGUCUAAGAUGUAUUAAGUAAUAGAAAAGCAUUAUUUUAAGGGGCCAUCAAGUUAGUGAUUCUUUCUGUUAUUUCCUGUUAGGCAUUUGUUGGUAUUGAGUACAUUAAGAAGGUGAUGUACAUGUAUAUUUUAAUAACAAGGGAGAUAAUUAACAGAUGUUUAAUUAUAGGUAAUAUGUUAAUUGCUACAUACAUGGUGCAUUAAAGAAUGACUAAUAACUUACUAAUACAGUGCAAUUUUUCUACAAUAUCAUAAUUAUACUUAAGUCCUACAAUUAAAACCUCGAAAUGAAUUGUAAAUGUAUUGCAGAAAUUUUUAAGUGCAAAUGUAUUUUUUGGACAAAAAUAAAGAAAAUGAGCAGAACUUUCUUCAAUUUGCAAUACAUUGAAAUAAUUGCUGAAAUACAUGUAUAAUAUAAUUAUGCAUAUUAUACAUAUAUGUAGUGCCCACAAGAAACACAUUUCAUAGAUAGUUACCCAAAAUCCAAAUAUAGUAAGCAAGUGUCCCAAUAAAAAAAUUACUCAUUAAUCUAUUGUACCAAUUUUUGGACAAAGAGCAAUCAUGUUUUAAUUACAGUUAAACUGCAUAGUUUCUUACUAUUCAAAGUCUCAACUGAAGGUUAUUACAAUGUCCCUAGAUGAAUUAUAUUCCUUAUUUUACUAGAUGUUUUGUUACCCUAUAAAAGUUAUGACUUUUUGCUCAGGUUGGCUAUAUAAUAUAUACUGUAGCUAUAGUUUUGUAAACACAUACUACAUGUGCUAUAUUAAUAAAACAUAAAUAGUAUUA
Molecule: long non-coding RNA, 5801 nt
Organism: Ruditapes philippinarum (Manila clam)
Lineage: Eukaryota; Metazoa; Mollusca; Bivalvia; Venerida; Veneridae
Exons: 2
Source: RefSeq, a predicted model, not a curated record